UUAAAUAAACUUAGAGGCAAGGAUUUAUUUGAGUGAUACCUGUUAUUGGAGCAACUGCAUAGCUGGGCUAGAGUUAAACAAGCUUUUCAGUGACAGGCAUUCUUCUCC
This is a long non-coding RNA of Gavialis gangeticus (Gharial), 108 nucleotides long. RefSeq lists it as uncharacterized. Lineage: Eukaryota; Metazoa; Chordata; Crocodylia; Gavialidae. The transcript has 3 exons. The record is from RefSeq and is a predicted model, not a curated record.